Molecule: long non-coding RNA, 212 nt
Organism: Rhipicephalus sanguineus (brown dog tick)
Lineage: Eukaryota; Metazoa; Arthropoda; Arachnida; Ixodida; Ixodidae
Exons: 3
Source: RefSeq, a predicted model, not a curated record
CUUCUUUGUGGACUGGACCGACUGACGCUCCUCGUUGUUUGCUCGUCGACGGUCUGCUGCCAUUGAACCACUGCGCUUUGUUACAGUUCGUCCAUCAGGAUACCACCUGUGAUGAUGACAUUGAGGAAAUGCCAAGUUGGCCUUUCAUAUUUGCUAAAGGUGGUGGUUUCCUGACAGGGAAGUCCUUCACACCUUGCAUUGACAACGUUCCU